GGACUACAGGGGUAUCUAAUCCUGUUCGCUCCCCAUGCUUUCGCUCCUCAGCGUCAGUAACAGCCCAGAGACCUGCCUUCGCCAUCGGUGUUCCUCCUGAUAUCUGCGCAUUCCACCGCUACACCAGGAAUUCCAGUCUCCCCUACUGCACUCUAGUCUGCCCGUACCCACUGCACACCCGGGGUUAAGCCCCGGGCUUUCACAGCAGACGCGACAAACCGCCUACGAGCUCUUUACGCCCAAUAAUUCCGGACAACGCUUGCGCCCUACGUAUUACCGCGGCGGCUGGCAC
RNAcentral lists this ribosomal RNA (292 nucleotides) under uncultured bacterium. RNAcentral's name for it is "partial 16S ribosomal RNA". The record is from RNAcentral.